RNAcentral lists this ribosomal RNA (517 nucleotides) under uncultured bacterium. Its description in RNAcentral is "bacterial SSU rRNA". It matches the Rfam family "Bacterial small subunit ribosomal RNA", at positions 28 to 521 of the family's 1533-position model. The record is from RNAcentral.
GACGAACGCUGGCGGCGUGCCUAACACAUGCAAGUCGAACGGUUCAGUGUUCAGUCAUCAGUUUAACUGACGACCGACAUCUGAGCAGUGGCGGACGGGUGAGUAACGCGUGAACAACCUACCCUUAAGCCCGGGAUAACUUCGGGAAACCGGAGCUAAUACCGGAUGAACUUAAUCUGAGGCAUCUUAGAUUAAAGAAAGGAGUAUAAAACUCCGUUUAAGGAUGGGUUCGCGUCCCAUUAGCUAGUUGGUGAGAUAACAGCUCACCAAGGCGACGAUGGGUAGCCGGCCUGAGAGGGUGAACGGCCACACUGGGACUGAGAACGGCCCAGACUCCUACGGGAGGCAGCAGUGGGGAAUAUUGCGCAAUGGGGGAACCCUGACGCAGCAACGCCGCGUGAGCGAAGAAGGCCUUCGGGUCGUAAAGCUCUGUCAUGAGGGAAGAAGUCUCUCGUUUAUAGGGAGGUGACGGUACCUCAAGAGGAAGCCCGGCUAACUACGUGCCAGCAGCCGCGGU